This 465-nucleotide ribosomal RNA is filed under the name Triticum aestivum (bread wheat). Its description in RNAcentral is "partial small subunit ribosomal RNA". Lineage: Eukaryota; Viridiplantae; Streptophyta; Magnoliopsida; Poales; Poaceae. The record is from RNAcentral.
AUGGACACGGAUGCAGAAGGACGUCAUCUAAUGCUAGCCACAUACAUUUUAAACUCUUUUUCAACAAACCGAAUGAAAUUCAUGCAAACACGGCCGGAUUUUAUACAAACAUGGCGGAUUCCAUACAAAUGGUGGAUUUUCAUUACAUUUGAAACAUCUAGAACGAAAAAAAGACCCGACUCGAAACCUAUCUUAUGGCGGUGGCGCCCGGCGUCCAAGCCCGUGCCGUCCUUCAUCCGCCGUCUUUAUGAGCACGGCAAUAAGACCGAUGAGGUGAAGCUGCAAUCUCCGGCAAGGAAGAGUAGAAGAGGGAGACGGACCGGCCACAUGGGACAUCAGGACCUGCCGCCUCCCGUGGCCUACUCAUCCUUGAAUGAGUUUGCGACUUUUCUAUCUCCGGUGGUCGUGAGGUCUACGAUGAAAAUGAUGGCGUUGGCGCUGGCGUCGUCCCACCAGGCCACCUGA